CUGCUGGUAAAGGUCAUUACGUAUUACUUUACUUACCGGAGGAAAAGAAACCAACAGGGAUUGCCCUAGUAACGGCGAGUGAAGCGGCAACAGCUCAAAUUUGAAAUCUGGCCUCACGGUCCGAAUUGUAAUUUGUAGAGGAUGUUUCUGGCGACGUGUCUUCCGAGUUCCCUGGAACGGGACGCCAUAGAGGGUGAGAGCCCCGUCCGGUCGUACACCUAGCCUCUGUGAAACUCCUUCGACGAGUCGAGUAGUUUGGGAAUGCUGCUCUAAAUGGGAGGUAUACGUCUUCUAAAGCUAAAUACCGGCCAGAGACCGAUAGCGCACAAGUAGAGUGAUCGAAAGAUGAAAAGCACUUUGAAAAGAGGGUUAAAUAGUACGUGAAAUUGCUGAAAGGGAAGCGCUUAUGACCAGACUUGGGCUCGGUGAAUCAUCCGGCGUUCUCGCCGGUGCACUUUGCCGUCCCAGGCCAGCAUCAGUUCGCGCCGGGGGAUAAAGGUUUCGGGAAUGUAGCUCCCUCGGGAGUGUUAUAGCCCGUUGCGUAAUACCCUGGCGUGGACUGAGGUCCGCGCUCUGCAAGGAUGCUGGCGUAAUGGUCAUCAGUGACCCGUCUUGAAACACGGACCAAGGAGUCGUCUUCGUAUGCGAGUGUUCGGGUGUCAAACCCCUACGCGUAAUGAAAGUGAACGUAGGAGAGAGCUUCGGCGCAUCUCCGACCGAUCCUGAUGUUCUCGGAUGGAUUUGAGUAAGAGCAUACGGGGCCGGACCCGAAAGAAGGUGAACUAUGCCUGUAUAGGGUGAAGCCAGAGGAAACUCUGGUGGAGGCUCGCAGCGGUUCUGACGUGCAAAUCGAUCGUCAAAUAUGGGCAUGGGGGCGAAAGACUAAUCGAACCUUCUAGUAGCUGGUUUCCGCCGAAGUUUCCCUCAGGAUACGAGUGUUGAACUCAGUUUUAUGAGGUAAAGCGAAUGAUUAGGGACCCGGGGG
RNAcentral lists this ribosomal RNA (985 nucleotides) under Pseudonectria sp. AR 2721. Its description in RNAcentral is "LSU rRNA". It matches the Rfam family "Eukaryotic large subunit ribosomal RNA", at positions 1 to 1035 of the family's 3401-position model. Lineage: Eukaryota; Fungi; Ascomycota; Sordariomycetes; Hypocreales; Nectriaceae. The record is from RNAcentral.